Hyaena hyaena (striped hyena) is the source of this 791-nucleotide long non-coding RNA. RefSeq lists it as uncharacterized. NCBI's taxonomy places the organism in Eukaryota, Metazoa, Chordata, Mammalia, Carnivora, Hyaenidae. The record is from RefSeq and is a predicted model, not a curated record. The transcript is spliced from 6 exons.
UAGAAGCUUCCUAAUUUUUGGCCGCCGUCGUCCCAGCAGCCUGAUGUCCCCAGGCCGGGCCCCUGCUCCCCGGACCCGCCGUGGGGAGCGCGCCAGCCCCGGUGAACUGGUCGCUGAAGCUUCAACAGUGUGAUUGAACAUCACUGCCAGAACUUGACCCUUAACGCGUCUCGCCCUCCAUGUUCCAGGUGGCCGACCCACUGCCUAGCGUUCAAGCCGGGAGCAGGACCCCUCCUUGAGGUUGCCAAUUAGGGGUUGCCAGCGUGCGCUCACUGGCAGCUGAGCUGAGGAUUCGAGGGAUGAUGAGUGGCCUGCCUGGAGGUUUUGGGUGCUGACUUGUUGAAGAUGGGUGAUGAGCGGUGUGGAGGUCAAGCCGGGGUGGCACAGCUCAGCCCAAAUAGAGGCUGUCCCCCAGGAGAACCAUGUGGUCGGCUAUACGGAAGUUCCGAGGACCAGUGGCCACCAUCAGUUCAGACUGAAAACUGAGGCCUUGGUAGCCUGUGUGGAAACAGCACUUACCUGGUGCCGAGAUCCAGAGCCCGUUCUGUUACCAGCAGUAGAGCUAACAAAUGUGUUCACAGUGCUUUCACCAUUAUGGUGCCAUUUGCAAGUUUUCUAGUAUAAAUACCAUUAUUUCUAGCUCUAUCUUGCCCAAAGAGCUUUCUGCACUUUUUAAUUUUGUAUAAAAUUGUUCUGUUGGUGAUGGUCUGAGUGCUUUAAGCUGGAAGCUUAUUUCUUUCUGAAAUUAGUAUUUCCAUAUACUUAAAAUAAACCAAUACUGCAAUAAGGGA